Molecule: ribosomal RNA, 480 nt
Filed under: uncultured bacterium
Lineage: Bacteria
Description: bacterial SSU rRNA
Rfam family: Bacterial small subunit ribosomal RNA
Source: RNAcentral
UUGAACGCUGGCGGAAUGCUUUACACAUGCAAGUCGAGCGGCAGCGCGGGGCAACCUGGCGGCGAGCGGCGAACGGGUGAGUAAUGCAUCGGAACGUACCCAGUCGUGGGGGAUAACGAAUCGAAAGAUUCGCUAAUACCGCAUACGUCCUGAGGGAGAAAGCGGGGGAUCGCAAGACCUCGCGCGAUUGGAGCGGCCGAUGUCGGAUUAGCUAGUUGGUAGGGUAAAGGCCUACCAAGGCGACGAUCCGUAGCUGGUCUGAGAGGAUGAUCAGCCACACUGGGACUGGGACACGGCCCAGACUCCUACGGGAGGCAGCAGUGGGGAAUUUUGGACAAUGGGGGAAACCCUGAUCCAGCCAUUCCGCGUGAGUGAAGAAGGCCUUCGGGUUGUAAAGCUCUUUCGGCGGGGAGGAAGGCACCGGCGCGAAUAGCGUUGGUGAUUGACGUAACCUGGAGAAGAAGCACCGGCUAACUCCGU